Molecule: small nuclear RNA, 124 nt
Organism: Saprolegnia diclina VS20
Lineage: Eukaryota; Oomycota; Saprolegniomycetes; Saprolegniales; Saprolegniaceae
Rfam family: U11 spliceosomal RNA
Source: Rfam
AAAAAGGGUGGGCCUUUGUUAAGGCUGGACUGCGUGCAGUCGCAGGUGAAUCGCGAUCAAGAGAUUUGCCCUACAUAAUUUCUCACUGCUGGUAUGUGUCGGCCUCACGGGCUAACAUUACCGG